Molecule: ribosomal RNA, 329 nt
Filed under: Panaphis juglandis
Lineage: Eukaryota; Metazoa; Arthropoda; Insecta; Hemiptera; Aphididae
Description: partial 12S ribosomal RNA
Source: RNAcentral
UUAUAAAAAUUUAAAAUUAUUUACUAAAAAAUUAAUAGUUAUUUUCUUUAAAUUUAAAAAAUUUGGCGGUAUUUUAGUCUUAUUAGAGGAACCUGUUUUCUAAUUGAUAAUCCACGAUUAAUUUUACUUAUUUUUGAAAUUCAUAUUUCGCUGUCAUGAAUAUAUUUAAAAAUUUAAUUUCUUUUAUUAUUUUAAUUAUGAUAUGGUAAGUCAAGAUGUGGUUUAUAAAUAAGAAAAUAAUGGGUUACAUUAAAUUUUAUUUUUGGAUUUAUAAUGAAAAUUAAUAAUAAAAUUGGAUUUAAUAGUAAAAUUAAUUAUUUAAUAAUAUG